CCCUUAGAUGUUCUGGGCCGCACGCGCGCUACACUGACGAAUGCAACGAGCUUAUAACCUUGGCCGAAAGGUCUGGGUAAUCUCCAAAUUUCGUCGUGAUGGGGAUAGAUUAUUGCAAUUAUUAAUCUUCAACGAGGAAUGCCUAGUAAGUGCAAGUCAUCAGCUUGCGUUGAUUACGUCCCUGCCCUUUGUACACACCGCCCGUCGCUCCUACCGAUUGAAUGGUCCGGUGAAGCGUUCGGACCGUGGCCUUUGGACGGUUCGCCGUCUGUUGGCUGCGGGAAGUUCGUUAAACCUUAUCAUUUAGAGGAAGGAGGAGUCGUANCA
This 327-nucleotide ribosomal RNA is filed under the name uncultured eukaryote. RNAcentral describes it as "partial 18S ribosomal RNA". It matches the Rfam family "Eukaryotic small subunit ribosomal RNA", at positions 1470 to 1796 of the family's 1831-position model. The record is from RNAcentral.